GAAAAUGAUGAAUAGUUUGUCGCCCCAGUCUUACACACACUCAAGUGGUGUGGCAUGGUGAUCGACAUUUCUAUCUGAUUC
RNAcentral lists this small nucleolar RNA (81 nucleotides) under Amborella trichopoda. RNAcentral's name for it is "snoRNA snoU31b". It matches the Rfam family "Small nucleolar RNA U31b". The record is from Rfam by way of RNAcentral. Lineage: Eukaryota; Viridiplantae; Streptophyta; Magnoliopsida; Amborellales; Amborellaceae.